Molecule: long non-coding RNA, 760 nt
Filed under: Pan troglodytes (chimpanzee)
Lineage: Eukaryota; Metazoa; Chordata; Mammalia; Primates; Hominidae
Description: long non-coding RNA NONPTRT008587
Source: RNAcentral
CCCGCAUCCUGCUCCCAGACUCCAUUUCCCAGCAUUCCCUCGCAGUCAGAGCCCUUAGGCCGGGAGGAGCAAGAGCCUCAAUGGUUUCUGGGAAAUGUAGUCCAGCUGCGAUGCCGCGUUUAAGGUACCUGGACUUACAGUUCCGAGACAGGGACUGCGCAGGCGCGUUCCGGGACCCGGCGGAGGAAGGGAAGGCCUGGCUGUCCAGCGGAAUCCGCCUGGACGCACGGACCUCGCGGACCCGACCGGAGCAGCUCUUCGGGCCCUGGCGUGGACCCUUCUCCCAGAGGCACAUGCCCAGAACCCAGCAAUGGCCAAUGGGACCCUGAUGGCCGAGGGCCAGAGAAGACUCAAGUGCAAAGAGCUGAGGUGCUUACACGACCACCGCACAGGAACGAAGCGUCGGAGUGUGGAAUCGAGACCUGUUCUACUGCACUCCAGAGCACAUGUUCUUUCUACUCUGCCAUAAUGUUUGGGACAAAAUUGAAUCAUGAGGGUUUUUUUUUUUUCCAUUACAAAUGUAACACAUCGCUCCUGCGUACGGCUGGGAUGAGUCACUGGCACCAGACGUGCCCUCCUGCGAAAAACAGCUAUGAAACUGGACAAAAUACAGGAGGGCCACUGUUUUCAGGCGUUGAACAGUGGAAAGAGGACUGCGAUCCUUGAGAAGAGAUGAUGGUGAAGGUGAGCCCAUGUGUUGGCCCAGGUUCCUCACUGGGAGCCCUGUCCCUACCACAGCACAGAGAUACGGGGCUAAAAC